Non-coding RNA from Tachysurus vachellii, 444 nucleotides. Lineage: Eukaryota; Metazoa; Chordata; Actinopteri; Siluriformes; Bagridae. The record is from the annotation of a RefSeq genome assembly.
ACAGGUGCAAUAAAUAAAGGAGAUUUUAUUGUACAACCAAACCAACAUGUUUAUUGCAAUAUAUGCUGUUUUCUUCUCUUUGGUCACAGAAGCUGUUCUGGGAGUGACACUGGAGCAAAAAGAACUCUUAUGGACAAAAGAGGAGACUAAAACUGUGUAUAUCAGCUGCAAAGUGACCGGAUUAUCCAGUAGCAAUUAUGUCCACUGGUACCAAAAGAAAGACGGUGAAGCUCUCAAAAGGAUCCUAUACGUUAAAAGUGGAGGCUCAACGGUUAAGGAUCCUAACCAUCCUGAAGCAAAGGACUUUGAUGUGAGGACACAGUCUGAGAGUUAUGAUCUGAAGAUAGCAAGCCUGAAGAAAAUUCAUGAAGCAGUGUAUUACUGUGCCAGCUGGGACUCAAGUGGCCACAGUGGCAGUAAAUAUUGACUGCGUGUACAAAAACC